Long non-coding RNA from Pygoscelis adeliae (Adelie penguin), 477 nucleotides. RefSeq lists it as uncharacterized. The transcript is spliced from 3 exons. The record is from RefSeq and is a predicted model, not a curated record. Lineage: Eukaryota; Metazoa; Chordata; Aves; Sphenisciformes; Spheniscidae.
GUUUUUAUUUGGAAGAAAAAAAAUCAUUAAAAGGACAGAAUAAGUGUAAAUCAUGUUUAAAUUCAUUUCAGAGGUGUAACUGAUGAAGAGGUCUUGUUGGCUCUUCUGUGAAAGGGAAUUUCCCCACUGAGCCUGGAAUAAAGAAAUUGCAAGAAUGAAGUAUCAUACUGUGAUUUGAAGGAUUCUAAUCUCAGGAGAGGAAGAGACAAUUCUGCUGAGGCUGCUUUCUCUGUUAGCUGCCCAGGCACUUGGAAUUUGGGCCACAGACAUAUUGCAGUUUUCUGUGAGGUUAUUUGUCCGUGUAUAGCUUUUUGGUCACUACUAUUUGCUGGGAAAAUUGCUGCCUGGACAAAGCUGAAGAAAAAAUGAUAUUUAUGUUAUGUUCAUUAUUAAAGUGGAAGGAAGGUGGGGAUAUACAGUUUCCAUUAGCAGUACCGUCUGAGUAUCAUUAAGAAUUACAGGUUGAAGUCUUUCCCU